AUUUAAAUAGCUUAUAAUUAGAGCGUAAUAUUGAAGAUAUUAAGGGAACAAUAGUUGUUUUUAAAUA
RNAcentral lists this transfer RNA (67 nucleotides) under Cryptopleurum minutum. Its description in RNAcentral is "tRNA-Phe". Lineage: Eukaryota; Metazoa; Arthropoda; Insecta; Coleoptera; Hydrophilidae. The record is from RNAcentral.